RNAcentral lists this transfer RNA (75 nucleotides) under bacterium. RNAcentral's name for it is "tRNA-Gly". It matches the Rfam family "tRNA". Rfam says of the family: Transfer RNA (tRNA) molecules are approximately 80 nucleotides in length. The record is from RNAcentral.
GCGGGUAUAGUAUAGUGGCUAUUAUGUCAGCCUUCCAAGCUGAAGAGGUGGGUUCGAUUCCCAUUACCCGCUCCA